CAGCAGCCACGGUAAUACGUAGGGUGCGAGCGUUAAUCGGAAUUACUGAGCGUAAAGCGUGCGCAGGCGGUUUUGUAAGACAGGCGUGAAAUCCCCGGGCUCAACCUGGGAAUGGCGCUUGUGACUGCAAAGCUAGAGUGCGGCAGAGGGGGAUGGAAUUCCGCGUGUAGCAGUGAAAUGCGUAGAUAUGCGGAGGAACACCGAUGGCGAAGGCAAUCCCCUGGGCCUGCACUGACGCUCAUGCACGAAAGCGUGGGGAGCAAACAGGAUUAGAUACCCCAGUUGUCCCUGUCUCUUAUAC
Molecule: ribosomal RNA, 301 nt
Filed under: uncultured bacterium
Lineage: Bacteria
Description: partial 16S ribosomal RNA
Rfam family: Bacterial small subunit ribosomal RNA
Source: RNAcentral